Molecule: long non-coding RNA, 4798 nt
Organism: Rhododendron vialii
Lineage: Eukaryota; Viridiplantae; Streptophyta; Magnoliopsida; Ericales; Ericaceae
Exons: 6
Source: RefSeq, a predicted model, not a curated record
UUAACGGCUCUCUCUCUCUCUCUCUCUCUCAGAGGAAGACGAAACCCUAGGUCGACUAUGUCAAGGGCGAGAAUCAGCAGGCGAUGCGGCAAAGUAAAGAUUUGCAUUGUGCGGACGCUUUUAAUAACGUGAUGAAGAGAAGCAUCACAUUCUAGGACUUGACCCAUGAAGAGAAGCAUCCUAUUCUAGAGGGCUUUACCCUUCACCGUUUGACGUGAGCCUCGGGAGUUUGUGGUUUGCCGUAAUGACUUGGGAAAGGAAUUAGGAAUUUGGAAUCGAUGGCUGGCUUACCAAUGAAACGAUAAAUCACCAAAACUGUUUGUUGACUGAGGAUUCUAUUCGUCAUGCACAUAGUGUUAGGUUUUAGUUAACUCAAUGUUAGAAUGAUCAUUCCAAGGACGGACCAUACGAUUUCAGAUUCAUUCUAGCGAACAAAACCCUGCCUUAAUGCUUUGGUUUACAUGGGUUUGGCUUGUUUACGAGCUUAGUCGUGUACCUUGGUCCAUAUAAUGUAUUGUUGAGUAGGGCAUUAAACACAGUUAUUUGAUUGAUUACAUGCACCAUUCCCUUUUUUUUGCUGUUAUGCGUUUGUAGAAUAUGUCGGAUCCAACUCCAGAAACUGACUUGCAGGUGAACAUGCCAGAAGAAUGCGCCUUUGAGACUGCUCUUGCGGGGACCGCAUUGUAAUUUUGGGUUAGGUAUAUGGUUUUAAUUUGGUUGUGUUGUUGGCAUUACCUUUUCUGUUAAUAACUUCUUUUUUAUUUUUUCACCUGUAUAAUUCGUUGAAGCAGUGUAGACCAAUGGUGUAAAGGAGAGGAGAUUAGUUAGGUGAGUGCGUUGAUCUUACUGAAUUUUAAUACGCCUGUGCUUCUAUCCUGGUACACCAUGGACUAGGCAAAUAGGUGGGGUCAAUCCGGUUACGUGUGAGAAACAGAUGAUACUGUAAACCUGCUUCAUGGUAAAUCUAAACCGUUUUUCCGAAGUACCAAAAAGAAGGUAAUUCUAAACCACCUCCAAAGGGGAACAAAAAAGUGGGGGUUCUCUGAGACUACUUCACUUUAUGUUUGGACGGGAGUUGAAGCUGAACUUACAUAGCUGCUCUAGUCUUGACAAUUUAUUCUCUAAAUUCGGAAGAUAGGAUUUAUUUUUUUGAUCCGCGGAAGAUAGGAGUUUAUUGUUAUGAAUUAUGACUGAAACAAUUUGAAUUAGAAAUAAAACUCUAUAUGUUUCUUAUGUCUUCCAUGGGUACCAGGGUAGAUCUGAUGGCACCUUAGCAUCUUUUUAGCAGCUAAUUUUUCAUUGUCAUAUCUUUAAAUGGAACGGGUUUAUCUUGUACCAAAUUUGCAAUAUGUUUGUUUUUAGCUCACGAAUCACCAGAUGUGUUUGUGUGCUCUUCUGCGUACUGUCCCGGUGAUGCUCUUAGUAGGUUUGAUUAUUCAGCUCAGUUGGUUGUGUUUUAGAUGCUACCAUUCAGUAUUGUUUCCCUUGUUGGAUAUGAGGUAAACAAUUUAUUCUUUGCAGUGUCGAAGUUGACAAGGACAGAAUCACUAUUUUGAGCUUGAAACGGAUGGUAGUGCAGAGAACUCCAUAGGAAAGUGGUAUGAUGCAACAUGUUUUUCUUAUUCAUUAUUGUGGUCUCAAGUUAUGAAUUGGAUGAUGCUUUUCUAUUGACCAAAAUUUGUAAUCCGAAUGGGGAUCUCUAACUUCUGUUCAAAUUUGUUCGAUGACACUGACCUGUUUCCUUAGGCACAAAACUCAGUGCAUCCUUUUUCAAAAACUUAGAAUCCACUUCAAACUCUAGCUCAGAAUUAUUCGUCAGUAGGAAACAAGUGUGCCCCACCAAACAAUAUAGAAGAGGGAAGUUAAUCACAAUUGUCAUUUCUGGUGUAAGUCUAGUUAAACAUAAGUUACUUUUUCUCAAAAUCAAUCUCACAGUACCUAUUGCAUAAGGUUUCUAUUCACUAAACUUAUGUUAUCUUGGAAAAUUGGCCAAGUGCAACUGAGCUGACACACAGAAAUUGAAGGCGAAGUCGUACUACUGAAAUCUUAGUUUGCCAUGGUCAAAGGGUUUUGCUGGAAAAUACUGGUUUGCUUGCCAUGUAAUAGCUGUUUCUUGUGAGUGUUUUGUUUCAGUUGCCAGAAAAUGGGUGUAGUCAAACGAUAUGUUUGUGUAUAAGUUUUAUCUUGGCACUGUUUUGAAUUCUUUUGUUAUUACUACAAGUGGCCUGUGCUACGAUUGUUUGUGUUGGUGCAGAAAAUCUAUUCAUGAAGGUAUCUCACAUAGGGAGGGUUUUCUGAGAAUAUAGAUUUAUUAUGGUACUCAUUCAACAUUCAUUGAAAUGUUUGUUAUGUCUUGUAAUUUUAGGGGAAAGAUGGGGGCCUCUCUGGACAGGUCGUCUAGAGGGCAUGGAUUAAGGGGCAAACCUCCAUAUUUAAUGGUAAAAUAGGUUUAAAAAGCUUCCGCAAAUGUGUGCAUUUUUUUAGCGUGUCUUACCGUUAGAAUUCAUGUUCAGAUCCAAUAACUCUUCAAUUUGUGACUCACAGCUUGAAAAGUUGAAACAAUUGGCAUUUAUCUGGUAAAGCCUUUUGUUUUCACAUGUUUUUGAGAACUUAGUGUGGUAUAGGAAACCUAAUGUGAACUAUGAAGGGAGCUUGAAUUCGAUUACGGGAUUCUCUCAAUGUCUGAAAUCUAACAUAGUUGAAUGGUAAUAUUACUCAUCAUAACCAUUAGGUACUAUGUGUCAAGUCUAUAUAUCUUGCGCGCUUAUUUUUUUGCAUUUGAUGCUUUAAGCAUGGCUGAUUUUUGUGUGCUCUGUGAUUCUUUAUUUGUAGCCCAUGGCCAUGUAAUGGCUAUAUGAAAAGAUUUCGCUCCUAUGCAUUUUAUAUAAGACCAUCUCAUAUCAGCUUUUUAAAAAAUUUUGAAGCUAAAGUUACCUAAACGCAAGAGGAAAUACAAGGAGGAGUGAAAGGGAAAAAAAAGAAAAGAAAAAAGAAGCAGUUGAAAGCAAUGAAUUUGGAAGCUUUCCAGAGGGCAAGGAUUGGUGUGGUGUAGCUGGCUCUUGUACGAGUUAGGUACUUAUGGUGGAACUGCAUGUGGAAGAUGAGUGGUAUGGACUCUAUAGAGGGGUUCUCAGUUCAUGGCUAUGUUGAUUAUCCUCCUACCUACAGGCAUAUCGAAAGUCAUGGACCCAAAAUGCAAGUUGGUUCAGUUUUACGUUUUGGAAUCUGGACAAACUGCUUACAACUUUACAUGUUAUAUUAACAAUCUGCAAGAGCAAAGAAGGGGCCUACACGUGUACUUGAACUCUUGCCUAUGUAAAAUUUGAUCAAUUCCUGGAAUUAGCCCUAGAAAGUGUACAACAUUCAAAGCAUCUCCGUUCAAUGGGAUUGGAAGGCGGUGUGACACUCACACUCACAGUUACAGCUUUAGCUCCGUUUCACUUGUCUGUUUCUUCUUGCUUUUAAUUUGGCGGGAUGCUUGUCCCCCUUAUCAUGUUUUUUGUUCCUCUCAUACUGUUGUCUGUUGCCAACCAAAAAAAAAACCCAUCUCCUAUUCAAUGGCAUAGGGUCGAGGUAUGAGUCUUGGAGAAGUGUCCAUGCUAAAACAGUUAAGGCUCCUCGCCAAGUAUUCAAGCGAGCAUGCCACACAGGAUGCCUUUGUAUGUUACUAAAAAUUGAUAAGCUCCAUGCCAUGGUUCUAAAAAAAAGUGUUUCUGUUGAUGAUAAUUCAUGAUUCAACUUGUUUUACCAAUAUUUUAAUUGCAGCUGCAAAAUGCCUAAUCAUGUAUUGUAGCCUUAGGUCCUAAAUACAUGUUCGUAAUUCCGCUCUCUAUAUUGUGGUCUCUAGAAAUCAGAUGUAAUUUUUUAAACAAUCUUAGGCAAUGGCAGCAGUUAAGCUAGAAGUAUGUUUUGUUUGGGUUUGUAAUAAACUUUUUUUCCAUCUUUUAUUUCAUAUUUGAUUGGUCGAGAUUUUUUAGCCUAAAAUGAAGGACUUGGACAUAGUGCAACUCCAGUGCAAGUUGAAGGACAUCUAUUUUCCAUAUAUUCAGAAAAGCUUUUUUUAUGGACUAGGAAAAAUGGGUAGAAAUAAGGCUCAAUAUUUGAUGAGAUGUUGCUCAAGAGUAAAAUGCUUUACAGUUAAAGGAGCCCAAGGAGUCACCUCUUGGGCCCUUAGUCUAGGGCUAGCUCUGAUGCUUCAGCAAGCUCUUUUCUGCAUGCAGACAAUGUAACCCUACUUCAUUGAAGUUGGAGAAGACAAGCAUGCCUUUAUGAAGUGGCCCAUCCAGUUAAAAUACAAACACAUGCCCGCACAUUUACACAGUCCGUUAUGUACCAGCUUAUACAAGGAUGCUCAUAUCCCAAAGAAUUAUGACAGGAUCCUUAGCAAGAUGAAAUCUUUAUGAUCAAGUAAAACUCAAAAUAUCUCAAGAUGGGAUACAAGUGAAAAGUGAAGAAUGGAUCUUUCAGAUGCAUAACCGAUAUGUUGAGGUCAUUGAGCGUGUUCUGACUUCUGAGGGUUCACAAAGAGAUCCAAUGGAAAGGAGCAUCUUGGAAAAUCAGGGGAGAAAAUUGAAGUGUUGAACUGAGCAUGUGCAGGUUGCCACAGUAACAAUACGUAUGCUACAUUAGAAUUGCAUUCUGCUUGAAGGAUUUCAAUGGGAUUCAGGGGAAGCUCAGGUCAUUUGGUGGUACACUUAUCUGCAAAUUUGUGUUUUAGAAGAGAUUUCGCACCCCCUUCACUCAAUAUUACUAGUUGUUAUCGCUCUUUGUAUUGGUAGACCAAUUGGUCUCCCAAAUG